Molecule: ribosomal RNA, 307 nt
Filed under: uncultured eukaryote
Lineage: Eukaryota
Description: partial 18S ribosomal RNA
Rfam family: Eukaryotic small subunit ribosomal RNA
Source: RNAcentral
CAAUAGCAUAUAUUAAAGUUGUUGCAGUUAAAAAGCUCGUAGUUGGAUUUCAAGGGAAGCGUCUGCAUCGCGGAUCGCUCUCUACGGUCUUAUGACUGUUACUGUGAGAAAAUUAGAGUGUUUAAAGCAGGCAAUUGCAGGAAUAUAUUAGCAUGGAAUAACGAAUGUGCUUACAAUUUGGUUAAUUGUAGGUUACGAUUAAUAGGAACAGUUGGGGGCAUUAGUAUUUAAUUGUCAGAGGUGAAAUUCUUGGAUUAGUUAAAGACUAACGUAUGCGAAAGCAUUUGCCAAAGAUGUUUUCAUUAAC